ACUUGGUAGACCGCAUGCGGUACUUUCUGGUAUAAUGAAUGCACAUUGGUCCGGCAGCUAGCGAUCGAGCUGUGCUAGUGCUACCGCUACUAGGAGGCGACUCUGCGCCAGCUGUCAUGGUCGACGCCAUGUCCGGCGGCGUCCUCGUCGCGCUCAUGGUGUUGCUGCUGGUGGCUGCGCCUGCGCUGCUCUCGCGGCUGGAGCGGCGCCGGCGGCCGCCGCCGGGGCCCGUGGCGCUGCCGGUCGUGGGACACCUGCACCUCCUGCGGAGGCCGCUGCACCGCACCCUGGCGCGGCUCGCGGCUCGCCAUGGCGCCGCCGCCGUGAUGGGCCUGCGGUUCGGGUCCCGCCGCGUCGCCGUCGUGUCGUCGGCGCCGGCUGCCGAGGAGUGCCUCGGCCCGCACGACCUCGCGUUCGCCGACAAGCCGCGGCUGCCGUCCGGGGAGAUCCUGUCGUACGAGUGGUCCACCAUGGGCACCGCCAGCUACGGUCCGUACUGGCGCCACAUCCGCCGCAUCACCGUCACCGAGCUGCUCUCCGCGCACCGGGUGCAGCACUUCGCCGGCGUCAACGCCCGCGAGGUGCGCGCCAUGGCGCGCCGUCUCUACCGGCGGGCGGCCGCCGCCGCCGCCUCCGCGGGUGGAGCUCAAGUCGCGGCUGUUCGAGCUGUUCAUGAACAUCAUGAUGGCCAUGAUCUGCGACAGGACCUUCUACGGCGACGGCGACGACGAGGUGAGCGAGGAGGCGCGGUGGUUCAGGUCGGUGGUGAAGGAGACGAUGGAGCUGAGCGGCGCGUCGACGGCGUGGGACUUCCUGCCGGCGGCGGCGCGCUGGCUGUUCGCGCGCAGGUUGACGCGGCGGAUGCGGGAGCUGUCAGACAGCCGGACGAGGUUCUACCAGCGGCUGAUCACCGACCACAGGACGAAGGAGAAGACGGACGACGACAACGCCGCCGCCGGCGACCACUCUCCGGCGCCGAGGCGGCGAACCAUGAUCGGCGUGCUCCUCUCCCUGCAGAGCAAGGACCCCGACGCGUGCCCCGACCAGCUCAUCCGCGCCCUCUGCAUCGGAUCCCUGCAAGCCGGGACGGAGACGUCGGCGGCGGUGGUGGAGUGGGCGAUGUCGCUGCUGCUGAACAACCCCGGCGCGAUGGCGAGGGCUCGCGGCGAGAUCGACGCGUGCGUGGGGCAGCCGGCGGCGCGGCUGCUGGAGGCGGCCGACCUCCCCAAGCUGCACUACCUCCGGUGCGUCGUGAUGGAGACGCUCCGGCUGUACCCGCCGGUGCCGCUCCUCGCGCACGAGUCGUCCGCCGACUGCGACGUCGCCGGCUUCCACGUCCGCAAGGGGACGAUGCUGCUGGUGAACACGUUUGCUAUUCACAGAGAUCCACAGGUUUGGGAUGAACCAGAAUCCUUCUUCCCAGACAGGUUUGCGGAUGGACAAAACGAAGCGAAGAUGGUGAUCCCGUUUGGUAUGGGGAGAAGGGGGUGCCCGGGAGAGAAUUUGGCGAUGCAAAUGGUCGGACUUACACUAGGGACGCUGAUCCAGUGCUUUGAUUGGGAAAGGGUGGGGGAAGAGCUCGAGGACAUGGGUGAGUCCUCUGGGAUUACAAUGCCAAAGAAGUUGCCUCUUGAGGCAUUCUAUCAACCUAGAGCAUGCAUGGUUCAUCUUCUUUCGUCCUAAUAUUUAAUCAGCAGUUUUCCAAACAUAAUUGGUUGUUGAACUCUGUAAUCGAAAGAAAUGAUGUAGCUCAAUUUGGUGUGAUUUGCCCAUAGUAAUUGGUGCCUCUGUUACUCUAUAUAUGUAUCCUAUGAAACUUUUUAUGAACCUAACUAGUUGAGAACUGGUAUGUGUUUUGAUAAGAAUAUACUAGAAAUAUUGGCGUGCUACGCUGCGCCCGGUUGA
Non-coding RNA from Oryza sativa Japonica Group (Japanese rice), 1905 nucleotides. The record is from RefSeq and is a predicted model, not a curated record. NCBI's taxonomy places the organism in Eukaryota, Viridiplantae, Streptophyta, Magnoliopsida, Poales, Poaceae.